CUCCUCCAGGAAGCCUGUGUUGGCGCGCCGUGCCCGCUGCAGCAGCGACAUCGCCCGCUGAGGGGCCAGGAACACUGCGGGGACCGUGGCCUCAGGGAGCCGGCCUGCCUUGGGACACGCAAGUACCCGGCAGGCCCCUCUUCCGUGGGACUCAGAACUUUGCCGCAAGGACUAAAGGAGCUGAAUGAACGUAAAACGAAUGAUGGACAGCCAGUGCCGAGUCGUCAGUACACCUCCGUGGGUGGAGCAACAGGGAGCCGGUGUAACCACAGCAGGGUGACAUAGUGAGAAGGAGAGACACAGAGAAAGAAGUCUUCCACCUGCUGGUUCAGUCUCCAAAUGGCUGCAACAGAGGAGCUAAGCCAGGCCACACCCAGGAGCUUGGAACUUCAUCCCGGUCUCCCACGUGGGUAGCAGGGGCCCAAGAACUUGAGCCAUUUUGCACUCCAUCCCAGGAGCAUUAGCAGAGAGCUGGAUCAAACCUGCAUUCAAGCGUGGACUAGGGGCCUCCCAAGCGGUGGUUUAACCUGCUGUGCCAUGUCGCCCACCCCAGCAACUCGAAUUUCUAUGCACACGCCCAUGUAACCAGCUCCCAACAGGUCCCUCCUUCGUGUCACCUCUCAGCAGAGCCCCCACGGAAAGCCUCUGUCCUCACUGCUAUCACUACCCUGCAGUUGUGUCCGUUUCUGAACUUCACACAAAUGAAAACCUACAGCACAUCCUUGUGUGGGUCUGGCUGUUCUCGCUAGUGCGUGUCUGGGAUCCACCCAUGUUGUGUGGAGCAGGAAUCCGUUCCUUUCAGGAUUUCGUGGGAUCUCACUGUGUGGCUAUUGCAUAUAGAUCCACUUGCCGGCUGAUGGGCAUUUGGAGUGGUUCCCAGCUUGGGGCUGUUAGGACUGGAACUUCUAUGGAUAUUCUUGUGCAAGACUUUUCCUGUAAGUAAGCCCUGAUUUCUGUCGGGUCUAUGCCCAGGAGUGGACUUUCUGGUCCAUGUGGCAGGCGUCCAUCUUGAUGACCAUCCCACGUGGUUGUGUAGCUUCCACCCCACAAGCAAGGACCGAGAGCCCCUCUCCUCACCCAUGGCCCCUGGCAUCCAUCCAUGUCACAUGAACCAUUCGGGUGGGUGUAUACGUGUGGCUUGCCGUGGCUUGUUUUUUUUUUUAAACAAAUAUUUAUUCGAGGGGCAGACAGAAAGAGAAAGCUGGUUCAUUCCCUCCAGAUGCCCAUAUGCUCAUGACUGGACCAGAGCCAAAGGUGGGAACUACAGGUGCAAUCCAGGUCUCCCACGUGGGUGGCAGGAACCCGGUCACUGGAGUCAUCCCUGCUGCCUCCCCGCGUCUCCAAUGACAGGGAGCUCUGAUGGGGGUCACGGGCACCUUAACUGCUAGGCCAGAAUGCCCACCGCUUCUGGUUCUGUAUUUUUGUUUUUUUUAAAGAUGUAUUUAUUUAUUUGAAAGAGUUACAGAGAGAGGGAGAAACAGAGAGACAUUGCGCUUCCUUCUGCUGGCUCACUCACCAGA
Oryctolagus cuniculus (rabbit) is the source of this 1520-nucleotide non-coding RNA. The record is from RefSeq and is a predicted model, not a curated record. Lineage: Eukaryota; Metazoa; Chordata; Mammalia; Lagomorpha; Leporidae.